UGUGGGAGCGGGCUUGCUCGCGAAGGCGGUGGCUCAGUCGAUACAUAAAUUGACUGACGCACCGCCUUCGCGAGCAAGCCCGCUCCCACA
RNAcentral lists this unclassified non-coding RNA (90 nucleotides) under Pseudomonas azotoformans. Lineage: Bacteria; Pseudomonadati; Pseudomonadota; Gammaproteobacteria; Pseudomonadales; Pseudomonadaceae. The record is from RNAcentral.